GCAUCAGUGGUUUAGUGGUAAAAUCCAUCGUUGCCAUCGAUGGGCCCCGUGUUCGCUUACGGCUGAUGCA
Molecule: transfer RNA, 70 nt
Filed under: Pseudogymnoascus sp. VKM F-3808
Lineage: Eukaryota; Fungi; Ascomycota; Leotiomycetes; Thelebolales; Thelebolaceae
Source: Rfam by way of RNAcentral